Molecule: ribosomal RNA, 465 nt
Filed under: uncultured bacterium
Lineage: Bacteria
Description: partial 16S ribosomal RNA
Rfam family: Bacterial small subunit ribosomal RNA
Source: RNAcentral
GACGAACGCUGGCGGCGUGCUUAACACAUGCCAGUCGAGCGGUAAGGCCCCUUCGGGGGUACACGAGCGGCGAACGGGUGAGUAACACGUGAGCAAUCUGCCCAUCACAUCGGGAUAACUCCGGGAAACCGAAGCUAAUACCGAAUACGACCACCUCCGGCAUCGGAUGGUGGUGGAAAGUUCCGGCGGUGAUGGAUGAGCUCGCGGCCUAUCAGCUUGUUGGUGGGGUAACGGCCCACCAAGGCUUCGACGGGUAGCCGGCCUGAGAGGGUGACCGGCCACACUGGGACUGAGACACGGCCCAGACUCCUACGGGAGGCAGCAGUGGGGAAUAUUGGACAAUGGGCGAAAGCCUGAUCCAGCAACGCCGCGUGAGGGAUGACGGCCUUCGGGUUGUAAACCUCUUUCAGCAGGGACGAAGCGCAAGUGACGGUACCUGCAGAAGAAGCACCGGCCAACUACGUG